Molecule: ribosomal RNA, 497 nt
Filed under: uncultured bacterium
Lineage: Bacteria
Description: partial 16S ribosomal RNA
Rfam family: Bacterial small subunit ribosomal RNA
Source: RNAcentral
GAUGAACGCUGGCGGCGUGCCUAAUACAUGCAAGUCGAGCGAACGGACGAGAAGCUUGCUUCUCUGAUGUUAGCGGCGGACGGGUGAGUAACACGUGGAUAACCUACCUAUAAGACUGGGAUAACUUCGGGAAACCGGAGCUAAUACCGGAUAAUAUUUUGAACCGCAUGGUUCAAAAGUGAAAGACGGUCUUGCUGUCACUUAUAGAUGGAUACGCGCUGCAUUAGCUAAUUGGUAAGGUAACGGCUUACCAAGGCAACGAUGCAUAGCCGACCUGAGAGGGUGAUCGGCCACACUGGAACUGAGACACGGUCCAGACUCCUACGGGAGGCAGCAGUAGGGAAUCUUCCGCAAUGGGCGAAAGCCUGACGGAGCAACGCCGCGUGAGUGAUGAAGGUCUUCGGAUCGUAAAACUCUGUUAUUAGGGAAGAACAUAUGUGUAAGUAACUGUGCACAUCUUGACGGUACCUAAUCAGAAAGCCACGGCUAACUACGUG